This 504-nucleotide ribosomal RNA is filed under the name uncultured bacterium. RNAcentral describes it as "bacterial SSU rRNA". It matches the Rfam family "Bacterial small subunit ribosomal RNA", at positions 8 to 509 of the family's 1533-position model. The record is from RNAcentral.
AGGGUUUGAUCAUGGCUCAGAUUGAACGCUGGCGGCAUGCUUUACACAUGCAAGUCGAACGGUAACAGGCCGCAAGGUGCUGACGAGUGGCGAACGGGUGAGUAAUGUAUCGGAACGUGCCCAGUCGUGGGGGAUAACGCAGCGAAAGCUGCGCUAAUACCGCAUACGAUCUAUGGAUGAAAGCGGGGGACCGUAAGGCCUCGCGCGAUUGGAGCGGCCGAUAUCAGAUUAGGUAGUUGGUGGGGUAAAGGCUCACCAAGCCAACGAUCUGUAGCUGGUCUGAGAGGACGACCAGCCACACUGGGACUGAGACACGGCCCAGACUCCUACGGGAGGCAGCAGUGGGGAAUUUUGGACAAUGGGCGCAAGCCUGAUCCAGCAAUGCCGCGUGCAGGAAGAAGGCCUUCGGGUUGUAAACUGCUUUUGUACGGAACGAAACGGUCCUGGUUAAUACCUGGGGCUAAUGACGGUACCGUAAGAAUAAGCACCGGCUAACUACGUGCC